CGUCCGAGUUGUAAUCUGGAGAAGCGUUUUCUGCGUUGGACCGUGUACAAGUUUUCUGGAAUGGAACGUCAUAGAGGGUGAGAAUCCCGUCUUUGACACGGACUACCAAUGCUUUGUGAUACGCUCUCGAAGAGUCGAGUUGUUUGGGAAUGCAGCUCAAAAUGGGUGGUAAAUUCCAUCUAAAGCUAAAUAUUGGCGAGAGACCGAUAGCGAACAAGUACCGUGAGGGAAAGAUGAAAAGCACUUUGGAAAGAGAGUUAAACAGUACGUGAAAUUGUUGAAAGGGAAACGUUUGAAGUCAGUCGCGUCGGCCGAGACUCAACCUUACUUUUGUUCGGUGUACUUCUCGGUCGACGGGUCAACAUCAAUUUUGAUCGUCGGAUAAAGGCUUGGGGAAUGUGGCAUCUCUCGGGAUGUGUUAUAGCCCUGGGUUCACAUACGACGGUUGGGAUUGAGGAACUCAGCACGCCUUUAUGGUCGGGGUUCGCCCACGUAACGUGCUUAGGAUGUUGGCAUAAUGGCUUUAAGCGACCCGUCUUGAAACACGGA
This 549-nucleotide ribosomal RNA is filed under the name Leptosporomyces galzinii. RNAcentral describes it as "partial 28S ribosomal RNA". It matches the Rfam family "Eukaryotic large subunit ribosomal RNA", at positions 135 to 665 of the family's 3401-position model. Lineage: Eukaryota; Fungi; Basidiomycota; Agaricomycetes; Atheliales; Atheliaceae. The record is from RNAcentral.